This 395-nucleotide unclassified non-coding RNA is filed under the name uncultured Gammaproteobacteria bacterium. Its description in RNAcentral is "contains 16S-23S intergenic spacer region". Lineage: Bacteria; Pseudomonadati; Pseudomonadota; Gammaproteobacteria. The record is from RNAcentral.
UCCGAGUUGACCCCGGCAGUCUUCUACGAGUCCCCGGCAUAAUCCGCUGGCAACAUAGAAUAAGGGUUGCGCUCGUUGCGGGACUUAACCCAACAUCUCACGACACGAGCUGACGACAGCCAUGCAGCACCUGUGUCGGCUCCCCUUACGAGGUCGGGCCCCUUUCGGGCACACCCCCAUCUCUGGAGGCUUCCUGGCAUGUCAAGGGUAGGUAAGGUUUUUCGCGUUGCAUCGAAUUAAUCCACAUAAUCCACCGCUUGUGCGGGUCCCCGUCAAUUCCUUUGAGUUUUAACCUUGCGGCCGUACUCCCCAGGCGGUCAACUUCACGCGUUAGCUUCGUUACCAAGGAAUUGCUUCCCCGACAACCAGUUGACAUAGUUUAGGGCGUGGACUAC